UUCGCCGAACACACACGACCAGGUGACCAUGGCAAAGACGGCGACCACGUGCUGGUCUUUCUGUUUCGGCCUUUUCUGGGAGGGUGGUCACAAACUGUGGGCACAUUUUGUGCUUCUGGUGCUGCCCCAGGAUCAAUCGUGGCGAAGCUCCUUUUGCAGUGCAUUGUUCACCUUACAAACGCUGGUGUUGUUGUUGACGCAGUGACCUGCGACAACUCCACAUCAAACCAAUCAGCCUUGAGAUCUCUGGGUGUCAACGGGGACAUGCACAAGCUUCAAACGUGUUUUGAACACCCGUGUGAGCCCUCAAAGCAAGUCCACGUUGUAAUUGAUCCACCGCACAUAUUUAAGUGCAUCAGAAACAACUUGCUCAAAGUGGGCAAGUUUUUGCUCCCUCAAGGACAGGAGGUGUUCCACUGUCACUACAAGGACUUACUGGACUAUGAAGAAGAACAGGCUGGACUCCGGGCUGUACCGAAGUUAACGAAAGCCCAUAUUUUCCCCAAUGCGUUCCAAAAGAUGAGCGUGAAGUUGGCUGUCCAGGCAAGUCAUGCACGCAGCUAUGUUCAGUGCAAAGUGUAUUUCAAAAACAUCUGCUCACACGUUUUGGGAAGUAAACUUAAAAUCCUUUUUUUCCACACAUUUUACAGCUGUUCAGUGAGAGUACUGCUUCGGCCAUGGAGUUUUAUAGCGAGCAGGAAGACUGCAAGAAGCUCCAUGGGUCGGCUGCAACAUCGCAAUUCACAAGAACAUUGAACAAGCUGUUCGACUGCCUGAACUCUCGGAGGCCAGACCAUGUUCGAUUCAACGAAGCACAACACAUUGCUGUGUUGAAGGACAGCAUUGCAUGGCUGGACAACUGGGAGAAAUACAUCAAGACAUUACCGACCCAGAGGCAAGUCUGCUUUCUGAGUAAGCAGACAUGUGGAGCCCUCAGACUGACACUGCAUAGCUCAGUUGCACUCAUCGAGAGCUUGCUGUUGUCUGGGUUUCGUUACGUUCUCGUUGGGAACUUCGGACAAGAUCCU
Long non-coding RNA from Rhipicephalus microplus (southern cattle tick), 1028 nucleotides. The record is from RefSeq and is a predicted model, not a curated record. NCBI's taxonomy places the organism in Eukaryota, Metazoa, Arthropoda, Arachnida, Ixodida, Ixodidae.